CGCAUUUCCCCUCUCUCCGUCAUCUCGCCUCUUCCCCUUCUCCCAACAACCCUAGCCUAAAUCAACCAGAUCCCACUUCACAUCCAAUCCUUUGUGGCCGAGUUCAUCGCCGUUGCAACCUCGCGAUUGAAUCUGUCGACCUCUAUCUCUACUUAUUGGAAUAUAUAGAGGACUAACUCUAUAAUCUCCAGGACCGCAAAAAGGAUAUUAGGAACCUCAAAUUCGACAGCACGCAUAGGCCAAACCUCUACGAGGAUGAGUAAAGUUAAAUUUCAAGCCUCGUCGACAACAUGAAGAAGCAUCGUAUCAUCUACAAGUCAAAUCGGGUAAGAACCUUGCUCGAACCUUUUUCCUAUUUACUUAUUUUGGGAUGGAUUUCUAUAUAUCUAGAUCUUGGUUAGUAGAUUUAUUGUGGUUUUUCAUCCAACAAACACUACUGUAGAACAUACCUUUCGUACCGGUGAGUAACCCCUUUUAGUACCGAGCGUCUGAUCAGUAUCGCUUGUUCGGUACUAACUGCCACGCAUCGUCACAAGUCACAAGUCACAAGUCACGCGAAUUUCACACGUAAUAAGCGCGUGCAAGGUCCGUGGGAUUCGAACCCACGACCUUAAGUCUUACGCGAACUUUCCUUACCAUCUCACAUACAUAGGACAUGUGAUGGAGUUAGAUAUGCUUUCCUUUUGAAGUAACCUGUGCCGGUUGGUGUUAUUACCCGGUAGUAAAUGGUACUCCACGAGAUACUAGUGUUAUUGCCCGGUACUAAAGGGUCCAUGCUAGUACCGGUUGGUGUUAUUGUCCAGUACUAAAAGGCCUCCGAGGACCAAAAAUAUCUACCCGGUACUAAUUUUGUGCGUUAGUACCAGACGAAAAGCCGUCCCGUACUAACGUCAAGAACGAAUGCUCAUAUUUCUAGUAGUGAAAUAGAAACAUGUGAAACUAUGGCCCUCGUCUCUCGUUUAUUAGAGGAUUGCACAAAGCCUAUGAUUAGGUCAGGGAACAAGGGAAAAAGGAAAAGUUAUGGUUUAAUAUCAUGCGUGAUUUUUGCACUUCUCAAUCGUUGUUGGUAACAAAAGAUCUAGCUUUCAAAUUUUAUUUGGGGAAAGCUAGCUAUACCACGCUUGAGCAUUUUUCAUCUCCCCCACGUCCAAAUUUAAUUUUCGCUCAUACAGCUUUCCCAUCUUCAAAUCCGGCGAGCUCCGGAGAGAGCUUUUUAGGGUUCAGGGGGUACCUAUAUCCGAUGGACCUAGAGAAAGAUCCAGGGGGUAGGGUAGCAGGCGGUGGUCGCAAUCGAGAUGGCAAUGAGGCGGGCUGGGGUGGUGGGGGUGCCGCCAGACGGAGUGGUGACAUAUUCCUGGUUGGGUUGUGGAGGUGGUGGGGGUGUCGAGAUUUGAUCUGUUAGCGACGAGGCUGGUGGACGGGGCGGCGGAGGCAUCGCUGGAGCGGGGGCAGUGGGGGCUGCCAGGGUAUCUCGUGACUUGGGCGGCGAUGCUCGCGACUUGCAACGAGACAUGAUAGGGUGGAGCGUAGGGGACGAGAUGAGGGGGACGAAGUUCAUCACAACUGUACGUUUUAAAUCCAGUGGCUACAAAAUUCAAGUGCAGGUUGACCCUCCAACACUUAAGUAUUAAAUCGACGGUCUCGUUUAUUUCUUAGGAAAAGGUUCUUCUCCCAUUUUCAACUGAACAUGCGCAUAGAGCUACAGAUUUGAAGCCUAUGAUCAUGCAGCAGACGAGUCCGUGAAAUUAUCCCCGACCAUGGACUGGUCGGGCUCGACGGCCAGUGCCGGCAGGUGGGGCAGCUCGCGGCGGUUAGGGGCGGCGGGAGCCGAGCCUGACUCCGUGCUGCUCAGUUCGCUACUCGAAGUAUCGGGGACCGGAUCGUUGAGAUCGGGUACGCCCGGCACGAAAGCCACCGCGUAGAGUCCACCGCCAGUGGCGGCGGAGCCUGGACGGUAGUGUAGCCGCAUGUACUGUGGCGCCGCCUCGCGCCGGAACGCGAACACCGGCGGUGCGACGCGCUCCUGGUGCUGUGCCGCGGCGCCCGCUGGCGCAGGCACCCAGCAGCGGAUCAGCGGCGCCUGACGCCGAGGCGCCUGCUGCUGCUGGCGCGCGGGCUCCGCAGCACGCCUUGCCCGCGCGAGAUCCGCUGCAAUGACCUCCCUCGCCGCUGGCGCCGCCGAGAGCUCGGGGAAGUUGGGCCUCGCCCAGCGCCCAAGAACGCUCCUCGCGGCGGCGUCGUAGGCGUACGCGGCCUCCACGGCAGUCCCGUACGAGCCGAGCCGGAUGGCCUUCUUCAAGAACGGGUUCCAGAUCGUGGCGGCGUACCUCCUGCCACGCAUCUGCACGCCGCGGUACCUCGUCGCCGGCUGCACGGCCGCCUCGCGCGCCGCCCGGCCGUCGGCCCUCGCCGCCGCCGCCGCCUGCCUCGCCAGCUCGACAACUCUGCCCGGCCCCGGCAUCCUCGACCGGAGCGCUAGCUAUCUGCCUAUCUCUCGCCUCUCGAUCGACCGAGAUCGCGGUGCCGCCUACCGCUGAAUGCCUGCGGUUUAAGUUCUCAGUUCGAGCUCGCAUGCCUCCAAACCAGCCACGCCGACCGCUCGCAGCCUCGCACCUUUCGCCUGGCCACGUCGAUCGCUUGCCGUGUUUGCUUCGAGCGUUACGGCGGCGAGCGCGAGCUUUUCUUUCCCUGGCUCGCCCUCGUUAUGCUGUGGGGACUGCGCGAACGCGUGGCGUUCGGCGGCGGACGCCACAGUUCAGCAAGUGUCCAGCCGCGCGCGCGGGCGUUGUGGGCUGCUCCUGCCGGACCUCGGCCGCUUCCUCGAUCGUCAAACAAGUGACGAUAUCCCCGUGUUCAAUACUACCUCUGAGCUACGAGAUGUUGUCAGGUGCGCGGCUUGCUUGCGUCGGUGGUGGGUGUUCGAUCGGUGGCAACGCAACAAUGUGAUUGUCUUAAUUUGCAUGACACGGCAGUCCCGCACCAAGAAACUACUGAACUACCCCCGUGAUAAAUUGUCUUAGUAAAAAAGAUGAACUGGUAAACGAGAUAUUUUGUCAAGUAAUGGACGGAUGAGCAAAUGACUUGGUAAUAAGGUUUGGAAAAAAAUUGGAAAUUUUAAGAGAUGAGAGAGAGAUGUUUGAGAGGGCUAGGGUUGGGAGAAAGAAAUUCCAAGCAUUAGAUAUGCCUAUCUUUAUUUGCGGCUGCAUAAAUGACGUUUCAAGAGUGCUGACGUAUGGGGCGGGAUGUCGUGUGUUGCGUGUCAUCCAUGUCACGUCCAUAUCAGAGCAAGUCACGAGAAUGAUGCUACGAAUGUUUAUGUCCGUAUACGGCCUUUAGUCCCUAUAUAUACCCCUAGCGGCCUCCGAACGAACGCAUCGACACAUCAUUCCCCUCACUCCGCCGCCUCGCCUCUUCCCCUUUCCGCUACAUCCCUAGCCUAAAUCAAUCAAAUCCAACUUCACUUCCAAUACUUUUAUAUCCUGGUGGAAUCCAUCGACCUUCGUCACUACUUAUUGAAAUAUAUAUGACUAACUAUAUCAUCUACAGGACCGCAAAAGGGCUAGGAAUCUCAAAUUCGACAGCACACAUGGGCCAAAGCUAUAUGAGGGUGAGGAAGGUUAAAUUUCGAGCAUCAUCGACAACACGAAGAAAAGCGUCAUAUCAUAUCGUCUACAAGCCAGAUAUGGUAAGAACCUUGCUCAAACUUUUUCCAGCCGAUUUACUUAUUUGGGGAUGAAUUUCUUUAUAUCUAGAUAUUGGUUAGUUGAUUUAUUGUGAUUAUCAUCCACCAAAUAGAAACAUGUCAAAGCACGGCCCCUUUCUCUCGUUUAUUAGAUGUUUGCACACAGGCUCUUAUUAGGUUGGGGAACAAGGGAAAAGGAAAUGUUAUGGUUUAAUUUCAUGCUUGAUUUUUUGCAAUUCUGACCGUUGUUGGUAACAAAAGAUCUAGCUUUCCAUUUUUAUUUCUUAGGAAAGGAUUCAAUUCUCCACUGUUUAAGUGGACACAGACGUAGAGCCAACAGAUUUGAAGACAAUAAUCACUUGCUCUACCUCUAAGAACAAACCAUGAAUCGGUUUCUUGUCCAGGUUUCUUAAGGCCUCGUUUGGCACGGCUUUAGCUCAUGAAAAAACAGCUCUGGCUCUAGCUCCUAUGGAAAAGCAACUUUUUCUAGCUCUGGCUUAUUCUGUACGAAAACGUUUGGCAAAACAGCUUCUCCUAGCUUUUUGAAUGUAAAGAAGAUGUCAAAUGUCCAAAAUACCCUUAUAUUUUUUUCUCUCUUUUCUUUUUCUUUUUUAUCUUCAUUUUCUUUUUCUUUUUCUUUCCUUUUUUAUUUCUCUUUCCUCCCCCCUCUUUUCUUUUCCCCUCCUCUCCCUCCUCUCUCCUCAUCCUAGGCCCACCGCCCCUCCUCUCUCCUUAUCCGAUCCCAGCCGCCCCCUCCUCCCUCCCGGACUCUCC
Molecule: long non-coding RNA, 4456 nt
Filed under: Setaria italica (foxtail millet)
Lineage: Eukaryota; Viridiplantae; Streptophyta; Magnoliopsida; Poales; Poaceae
Description: long non-coding RNA (SITA_LNC003193)
Source: RNAcentral